CGGAGAACUAAUGUUCAGCCACCGGCAGCGCCGCAAAUGCUUCGCGAAUCAAAUCUCUACUGGCGCGGUGGUUUGAGUGACAGAACUGCUCACGCUCGAGCCUCAACGUCCUUGAGACCAACUGGAAAUAUACGGUGUCAGUCCCUCUCAGCUCCAGAUGGCUCCUGGUUCUGAGCCAGUGGGACAUGGCUUCCCUCUUCUGCUCCACUGGUGGAAGAAGACGAGCAGGAGUCAGUGUUUCAGUAAGUUCAGUGAGUAAAACAGUCUGAGUCUAAAAGAAGCAUUGGCUGUUGUAGAGAGUAA
RNAcentral lists this long non-coding RNA (303 nucleotides) under Gadus morhua (Atlantic cod). Its description in RNAcentral is "lncRNA (ENSGMOG00000036343.1)". Lineage: Eukaryota; Metazoa; Chordata; Actinopteri; Gadiformes; Gadidae. The record is from RNAcentral.